GUAUUCCAUUCCAUUACAUCAAUCUUCAGUUUUUCGAUUUUGGAAAAAGAAUUUUGAAGCCAGAAUAAAGAAUAAUUUACAGCAUUUACAAUAUUUUAAAUGAUAUUUUAGGCUUUUUUCCGGACUUAUUUCUCCCUCGUUCACCUUGAGGGGGUCAUGGCAAUUUUCAUCCGGUCAUUUUCCGACCCGACUUCACCGUCCUCAUCGUUUGCCUACAAAACCUCCAAUAUCAAGCUUUUCGAGUAGCGAUGUUCACGAAACACGAGAUAAAAUCUCAGUUCGUGUUACUGGCAGAUGCUCUUGAAGCGUCGGCAGAUAUGAAUAUUAUAUGCUUGUUUUCAUGGUUCUCAAAACUGUGAGAGUUUCAAAUAUGCGAUGUUACCUACUUUUUUUUUUUUUUGCCUAAUUAUGAUUUUGUGAUUACAAAAAAGCAACACAGAGAAAAACCUUAUAUUACAAAAACUGAAAGAAGAAAGCUUUUGUUGAUGAUAUAUGUAUAUUGGUGAUCUCAUUGAAUCGUCGUUACAAAUUUUAGUGGAAGCUUCUAAAAUCGUGCAUAUAUAGUUUGUGUCUUAACUUUAGCCCCAAACAUGAUUGAGGUGUCUGAAGUUAGAUUGUUGGGUUAGGCUCGCGUUAUGAGUUGAAACCCUGCUGCACACAAACAAGGUAUUUAAGUGGAGAAAGGCUCCAUAUCCACUGAGUUUCAAAUCACGAGCCACUGAACCUCUAGGCCAUCAAGAAAAGGAUACAAAAACAUCACCAUUAAAAAGUUGAAUCCUGUUUAGAUCCUCUUUGACUUGCAUUCCAUUACUAUUGAGGUUCUUUCAACUUCCCAAAAAAGAGGUAUUGGUUCUUCGUUGUGUUGUUUCUGUAAGGAAGCCUCUCUCUCCAUUUGAUGCUUUGCCCGAGAUAUGUUUUUACCACCACUGGUGCAAUAAAUUGUUCAUCUCCGACUUUGCAGGGGUUGCUCGUUAAAAUUCUAGUUAUCAAAUCUCACCAUUUUUGGCUGGAUGCAGAGCACCUUCAGGAAACCAUUCAGAAUGUUUUAAUUUGUGUGGAGAUGGUUUUCUUUUCUGUUCUGCUGCAAUAUGCAUACCACGUGGUUCCUUACAGCUAUGUCGAAGCAAAUUUAAACUGAAAAAGGAUGACUAAGUUGAUGCGGCGUGAAUAGGCAAUUUUCCCGUGAUCUUGCAGUAACGGUGUGUAAUACAAGUUUUUGGAUCUGUUGAUACGGAUUAGAGAGGUCUUGAGAUAAGUAAUUUUUAGCAAAGAAGAUUGAAAUUUCUAUCCUUUUCUCUUGCAACCAAUUUUUACUCUUUUUUGUUUGGACUUAUUGUAGUUCUUUUUCUUUUAUCUAUUGGCACAAUCGUUUGGGCAGUAUCUAGUCCAUUUUCUCAUAGGCUUGGAUAUGAACAUUCUUUGAUAGGAUAGUUAUUUUGAUAUUCCCUUUAAAUUGGUUAAAUUAGUGUUCAAUUUGAUUGAAACGAUGAAAUUGUUUUUUUAAAAAAAAAAGAAAAAAGAAAAGGCAUCUUCUACGAAAUGGGUAAAUAAAUACGUGAUGACUUCAUUGCCGAUGAAAAUCGUUGCAGCAUUAAUGCUAUAAAUAUCUCUUCUCCAUCUUUUAUAAUUAAUUCACACCCACUUUAAAAUAAAAUUAAAAAGGCAUCUAACUAUACAGAAAAAAAAUGAUGGAGAAGAAGAAGAAAAUGAAUGCAGUGGGAACCAUGGCUAUUGUGCUGAUGAUCCUUCUAUCUUCCAACACAGACACUGUCGGCGUCGCUGCUCAAGACGUCGAUUGCUAGGACUCUUGUAACACCGCCUGUGUUGGUCACUCAUGGAGAGAGUACCAACGUUGCGACGAAAAAUGUCAGAUUAGAUGCGGACCAGAUGGCAAAAUUGAUACAAACCUGGGUUAAAAGUGCUGAAAAUUAUUGAGGCUAUUAUAUAUUGUAGCGGAAAUCCACAAUAAUAAUAAUAAUUGUUAUCUUUGAUAAUAAUUUCCUCGUAGUUGGGAAAAUAAAUUGUAACCUUUAAUUACUAUUAUGGUUUCUUCUACUUCUUUUUUCUUUAAUGGUAAUGGAUGCAUUUUAUAAUAAUGCAAAAUUAUAUUUGUCAAUUUAUAGAUCAAAGUAUAUACAGAGACGUUUUAGAAUUUUUGAUACCUCA
Non-coding RNA from Solanum lycopersicum (tomato), 2166 nucleotides. Lineage: Eukaryota; Viridiplantae; Streptophyta; Magnoliopsida; Solanales; Solanaceae. The record is from RefSeq and is a predicted model, not a curated record.